RNAcentral lists this transfer RNA (75 nucleotides) under Chloroflexota bacterium. RNAcentral describes it as "Chloroflexi bacterium tRNA-Met". It matches the Rfam family "tRNA". From Rfam's summary of the family: Transfer RNA (tRNA) molecules are approximately 80 nucleotides in length. Their secondary structure includes four short double-helical elements and three loops (D, anti-codon, and T loops). RNAcentral also lists the same sequence under 2 other names. The record is from RNAcentral. Lineage: Bacteria; Bacillati; Chloroflexota.
GGUGGCGUAGCUCAGUGGUAGAGCAGGGGACUCAUAAGCCCUUGGUCACAAGUUCAAAUCUUGUCGCCACCACCA